CUGCCUAUUUCGGGGACGUGAAACUCCCCUAAACGGUGCUCAGCCUCCUAGGGGAGUUAGCUGUCAGCCGUGCAGCGGCGGGAAGUGCAUCCCGACAGCCCUGGAACUUCCCAGGGUCUGUUGACACUCCAUGUGGCUUUGAACUUAUUCCCAUGAAGAGUAGAAAUUUCUGGACUCUGCUCAGAAGACCAUGUACAUGGAUGUAGUGUUGGAGAAUUAUAGCAAUCUAGUCUUGUGGGUAAAGAUGCUUUUCCUAUAGAAUGCCUGAUACAUCCUUUGUAUUUGCCUGCUUUGUAUAUAUGUAAACUCCCAGAACUGUCCAGAGACUCCCAGACAAAAGGGGAAUUUUGGAAAUAAAACAACUUUUUCCUGGUA
Long non-coding RNA from Grammomys surdaster, 375 nucleotides. RefSeq lists it as uncharacterized. The transcript has 2 exons. Lineage: Eukaryota; Metazoa; Chordata; Mammalia; Rodentia; Muridae. The record is from RefSeq and is a predicted model, not a curated record.